ACCAUUGCAGCUUCAUUGUUAUACUCUGGGUAGAUGGGAUCUUAUCUCUGUAUGCAUAACUUGGGACUUACCUUUAGCAUUAUACUAAAGCUCAAUCAUUCUUGA
Molecule: small RNA, 105 nt
Filed under: Arabidopsis thaliana (thale cress)
Lineage: Eukaryota; Viridiplantae; Streptophyta; Magnoliopsida; Brassicales; Brassicaceae
Description: ATSL206780
Source: RNAcentral